AUUUAGGUGGUUAUAGCACGAGGGUUCCACCUCUUCCCAUUCCGAACAGAGAAGUUAAGCCUCGUCACGCCGAUGGUACUGCGUAACAGUGGGAGAGUAGGUAGCCGCCGUUUUAA
RNAcentral lists this ribosomal RNA (116 nucleotides) under Bacteroides ovatus. Lineage: Bacteria; Pseudomonadati; Bacteroidota; Bacteroidia; Bacteroidales; Bacteroidaceae. The record is from RNAcentral.